GAGAGAGAGAGAGAGAGAGAGAAAGAAAAGAAAGAAAGAAAGAAAGAAAGAAAGAAAGAAAGAAAGAAAGAAAGAAAGAAAGAAAGAAAGAAAGAAAGAAAGAAAGAAAGAAAGAAAGAAAGAAAGAAAGAAAGAAAGAAAGAAAGAAAGAAAGAGAGAAAGAGAGAAAGAGAGAAAGAGAGAAAGAAAGAGAGAAAGAAAGAGAGAAAGAGAGAAAGAAAGGAAAAGAAAGAAAGGAAGGAAGGAAGGAAGGAAGAAAGAAAAGAAAGAAAGAAAGAAAGAAAGAGAGAGAGAGAGAAAGAAACGAAAGAAAGAGAGAGAGAGAGAAAAGAAAAGAAGGGCCUCAGCAAUGCAUAUUACAGAUACAGUACACUUUUUAAAAGUGAAAUAAAGAAAAGCAAUGGUCAGCCUAAAGUGCCUUUAGGUUUGUAACAAGCCAUAAUUGCACUUAAAAGACAAUCAAUAUGUGAUUGACCAAAUUGCAGAAGUAGUAUCCUUUUCCCAGGGACUUAACUUUGUCUUUGUUUUGUGGUUGUUAUUUGUUUUGUUUUGUCCCAAUCACUCUGCUACAAGGGAGAAAGCAAAAGUUUAGGACUGAACAACUGAAGAACUCCAGGGCCCCAGUUACUUUAUCAGUUUAUGAUAAAUAGCUCUUAUGGUAUGUGCCUUAUGGUUUCUUUCAGAAUAUGCUCUGUAGUUCAGACUUCAGAGAUUGGAAUAAGGAAACAUAUGGAAUGCAAUGCUCAAGAUGAGGCUUGAGCUACUGAGACAAUACCCACAUGGACUAGAAGCACAGCCCUUGGCAUUGUAGCCCAAUAAAAGCUAGAUUUAAGUUCCA
Molecule: long non-coding RNA, 838 nt
Filed under: Monodelphis domestica (gray short-tailed opossum)
Lineage: Eukaryota; Metazoa; Chordata; Mammalia; Didelphimorphia; Didelphidae
Description: lncRNA (ENSMODG00000048478.1)
Source: RNAcentral